This is a non-coding RNA of Chitinophaga ginsengisegetis, 37 nucleotides long. The record is from Rfam. Lineage: Bacteria; Pseudomonadati; Bacteroidota; Chitinophagia; Chitinophagales; Chitinophagaceae.
AAUGGGGUAGCCGAAAACCAUUAUAAUCGAGUAGGCG